GACGAACGCUGGCGGCGUGCUUAACACAUGCAAGUCGAGCGGUAAGGCCCUUUCGGGGGUACACGAGCGGCGAACGGGUGAGUAACACGUGGGUGACCUGCCCUCAGCUCUGGGAUAAGCCUGGGAAACUGGGUCUAAUACCGGAUAUGACUCCAUGACGCAUGUUGUGGGGUGGGAAGCCUUGUGCGGCUGAGGAUGGGCCCGCGGCCUAUCAGCUUGUUGGUGGGGUGANGGCCUACCAAGGCGACGACGGGUAGCCGGCCUGAGAGGGCGACCGGCCACACUGGGACUGAGACACGGCCCAGACUCCUACGGGAGGCAGCAGUGGGGAAUCUUGCGCAAUGGGCGAAAGCCUGACGCAGCGACGCCGCGUGAGGGAUGACGGCCUGGUU
Molecule: ribosomal RNA, 392 nt
Filed under: uncultured bacterium
Lineage: Bacteria
Description: bacterial SSU rRNA
Rfam family: Bacterial small subunit ribosomal RNA
Source: RNAcentral